UUCCAAAAUUCAGUUUUUUGGGACUUACAUCCGGUUCCGGUUCAAGCGCAGAUUAAUAGAACUACAGACUGAUAGCGUUACUGACGGAAUCUACAGCGUCUUGAGCUGAAUUAAGACUUCAGAAGUCAUUCGUCAUGUCGAAUGACCAGCGGAUAAACUCUCAGGUGAAGAGCCUGAGGCCGGUGACACUCCAGUUCUACUCUAAGUACAUCCUUACGGUGGCUCACAGGACAAGGCGACAUUCCUGUCCUGCCAGAAGAGAAGAGAAACUUCAGAGUCUUCAUGAAGUUCAACCAAAACCUGUCAUAUUCCAUAUGACAGGGGUCUCAAACUCCAUUCCUCGAAGGCCGGUGUCAUGCAACUUUUCCAUGCCCUCGAGGACUGGAGUUUGAGACCCCUGCCGUAUGGUGUUCAUGCAGUUUUCUACCCCACAGUUACAGCAUGUCUGACUGCCUGUUCAGCAUAUGCAAAAAUAUAUGAGUUUAAGCAUGUGAUGACUAAGGCCUUCCAUUAUGGUGUUUGUCAUCACAUGUCACAGACAUCUGGAUGAUCAUUUGGAAUAAACAAAAAAACUAAAAACUUGUUACUUCAUCUUUUAUCUUUAUUAUUAUUUUUCUUAUUUGACAUUUUUCAUUGUUAGGCAUUGGGUUUAUUUGUAGUAGUCCUUUCCAGCUUCUUUCCCUCUUCCAUGUUACUGUGUCAGCUUGUCAGCAUCUAUUUGGGGUUGGGAGUGGAACAGGAAGUAAGGAACAGAAAGUGCCAUUUAAACCAGGAGAGGUUCUUAUAUUUCAGAAGAAGGGAUUAAUUCAAAAGAAAUGACCUCAAUGCCAUAUUUUAUUUAGGAACCCUAGAGAGCACUUUGCAAAAUAACACAUUAUUAUAAUUUCACCCUCAGAUGAGCCAAGCUACGACUGUCAGGGAAGGUGAUGUAGGUACAGAGCAUGUGAGAGUGGUUAAGUUAAUGUCUCUUGUCUAGAUGAAGGCACAGGAGGGAUCAAUGGCACGGCGUAGAGAUUCAGUAUCUUCAGUCUUCAGUGGACACUCCAUUUCUGGCACAAAACACCUGUAAAAGAUGGUCGAUUUAGGAGGUGACCCGACAACUUCAGCCUGUCAAACAUAGCAAUGGAGCAGUAUGUUUAAAAAAAAAAAUCUAAUUAAGCAUGCACUCAGUACCCUAAGAAUUAUUAUGAUAGUUAAACACAGUGAUAGUUGUAUAUCAUAUUAUAUUACUUCAAACAGAGGUGAUCCAGUAAAGCUGCACUAAUGAAUAAGACUAACUAUUCACUUUAGCUAAAGUUAUUAAGUUCGCUAAAGAGUUGGGAUGCUGUGUAAGACAUAAAUAAAGCUCAAAUACAAAGGUUUGGACAGCGUUUUGCAUGUUUCCUUACUCUAGGGGUGUCUGCAAGCAUACAGGGCUCUGACAGGGUACAAGAUGACAACUUUGGAAUUCUACUAGAAACAGUCGAUCAUAUUUGUUUGUCAAAGCUGAAUCCAGGGCAAACUACGCUAAAUUAGCGUUUUUAGCUAGCAGCUACAAUAAGCAUAAAGGUUACUGUACGGCCAUCAUUUGUUAACAUGACGCUUGUUCUUAUACAUGUAAUACAUUUAUUACCAACCUGAGAGUUUAUCCGCUGGUCAUUCGACAUGACGAAUGACUUCUGAAGUCUUAAUUCAGCUCAAGACGCUGUAGAUUCCGUCAGUAACGCUAUCAGUCUGUAGUUCUAUUAAUCUGCGCUUGAACCGGAACCGGAUGUAAGUCCCAAAAAACUGAAUUUUGGAACUGAAAUUGAAUUGUACAACUGAAACUGAAUGGUGAGAAGUGAAUCUGAAAUUAUUCGAGAGCUGAAUUUUUAAAGGAUAAAAUGCAGUUUCAAAGCAAAUCAAUUCAUUUUCAAACCAUAAAUUCAAUUUCAAAUUAAACUAAUUCAAAUUCAGUUUUCAAAAGCUUUCAUUCAAGUUACAAUUCAGAUUCAAUCCGAGUAAUUCAAAUUCAAAUUUAACUUAUUCAAAUUCAGUUUCUGAUGGCACAGAUUUCUGCCCAUAGGGG
Molecule: long non-coding RNA, 2047 nt
Filed under: Oreochromis niloticus (Nile tilapia)
Lineage: Eukaryota; Metazoa; Chordata; Actinopteri; Cichliformes; Cichlidae
Description: lncRNA (ENSONIG00000041678.1)
Source: RNAcentral